UACUCCUACGGGAGGCAGCAGUGGGGAAUAUUGCACAAUGGGGGAAACCCUGAUGCAGCCAUGCCGCGUGUGUGAAGAAGGCCUUCGGGUUGUAAAGCACUUUCAGUAGGGAGGAAGGUAGUGUAGUUAACACCUGCAUUAUUUGACGUUACCUACAGAAGAAGCACCGGCUAACUUCGUGCCAGCAGCCGCGGUAAU
This 198-nucleotide ribosomal RNA is filed under the name uncultured bacterium. RNAcentral's name for it is "partial 16S ribosomal RNA". It matches the Rfam family "Bacterial small subunit ribosomal RNA", at positions 334 to 524 of the family's 1533-position model. The record is from RNAcentral.